Molecule: ribosomal RNA, 253 nt
Filed under: uncultured bacterium
Lineage: Bacteria
Description: partial 16S ribosomal RNA
Rfam family: Bacterial small subunit ribosomal RNA
Source: RNAcentral
UACAGAGGUGGCAAGCGUUGUUCGGAAUUACUGGGCGUAAAGGGCGCGUAGGCGGCCCACUAAGUCAGACGUGAAAUCCCCCGGCUUAACCUGGGAACUGCGUCUGAUACUGGAUGGCUUGAGUGUGGGAGAGGGAUGCGGAAUUCCAGGUGUAGCGGUGAAAUGCGUAGAUAUCUGGAGGAACACCGGUGGCGAAGGCGGCAUCCUGGACCAUUACUGACACUGAAAAGCGAAAGCCAGGGGAGCAAACGGG